GACGACGAUGCGUAGGGGUUCUGAGAGGAAGGUCCCCCACACUGGUACUGAGACACGGACCAGACUCCUACGGGAGGCAGCAGUGAGGAAUAUUGGUCAAUGGGCGGGAGCCUGAACCAGCCAAGUCGCGUGAGGGAUGACGGCCCUAUGGGUUGUAAACCUCUUUUGCCGGGGAGCAAAGUGCCGCACGUGUGCGGUUUGGAGAGUACCCGGAGAAAAAGCAUCGGCUAACUCCGUGCCAGCAGCCGCGGUAAUACGGAGGAUGCGAGCGUUAUCCGGAUUUAUUGGGUUUAAAGGGUGCGUAGGCGGACGCUUAAGUCAGCGGUAAAAUUGCGGGGCUCAACCUCGUCGAGCCGUUGAAACUGGGUGCCUUGAGUGGGCGAGAAGUACGCGGAAUGCGUGGUGUAGCGGUGAAAUGCAUAGAUAUCACGCAGAACUCCGAUUGCGAAGGCAGCGUACCGGCGCCCAACUGACGCUGAAGCACGAAGGCGUGGGUAUCGAACAGGAUUAGAUACCCUGGUAGUCCACGCAGUAAACGAUGAAUGCUAGUUGUCCGGGGCG
RNAcentral lists this ribosomal RNA (561 nucleotides) under uncultured bacterium. RNAcentral's name for it is "bacterial SSU rRNA". It matches the Rfam family "Bacterial small subunit ribosomal RNA", at positions 272 to 831 of the family's 1533-position model. The record is from RNAcentral.